RNAcentral lists this ribosomal RNA (498 nucleotides) under uncultured bacterium. RNAcentral describes it as "partial 16S ribosomal RNA". It matches the Rfam family "Bacterial small subunit ribosomal RNA", at positions 29 to 523 of the family's 1533-position model. The record is from RNAcentral.
AUUGAACGCUGGCGGCAUGCCUUACACAUGCAAGUCGAACGGUAACGCGGGGCAACCUGGCGACGAGUGGCGAACGGGUGAGUAAUGCAUCGGAACGUGCCUGGUAGUGGGGGAUAACUGCUCGAAAGAGCAGCUAAUACCGCAUACGACCUGAGGGUGAAAGGGGGGGAUCGCAAGACCUCUCGCUAUCAGAGCGGCAGAGGUCGGAUUAGCUAGUUGGUGGGGUAAAGGCCCACCAAGGCAACGAUCCGUAGCUGGUCUGAGAGGACGACCAGACACACUGGGGCUGAGACACGGCCCAGACUCCUACGGGAGGCAGCAGUGGGGAAUUUUGGACAAUGGACGCAAGUCUGAUCCAGCAAUGCCGCGUGCGGGAAGAAGGCCUUCGGGUUGUAAACCGCUUUUGUUAGGGAAGAAAUUCUCCGGGCUAAUACCCAGGGGGGAUGACGGUACCUAAAGAAUAAGCACCGGCUAACUACGUGCCAGCCGCCGCGGUAA